RNAcentral lists this long non-coding RNA (206 nucleotides) under Lathyrus oleraceus (garden pea). Its description in RNAcentral is "Pisum sativum (pea) long non-coding RNA (PSAT_LNC029911)". The record is from RNAcentral. Lineage: Eukaryota; Viridiplantae; Streptophyta; Magnoliopsida; Fabales; Fabaceae.
UAUUUUUUAAUUCCAUAUAAUUUUCUAAAAUUCAUAUCUCUUUCAUUAUUUGUCCAAAAAUUAUGGGACCAAUUGCAUUAUUUCUCUUUUAUUUUCUACUUUCUAAAAAUGAUUUUUAAUAUUUUUUUAUUUUAUCAUUUGCUAUUUUUUAAUAAUUUUCUUUUUUCUGGUUAUUUUUAAUUCAUUUUAAAUAGUUUUUGAUAUUC